Molecule: long non-coding RNA, 1175 nt
Filed under: Homo sapiens (human)
Lineage: Eukaryota; Metazoa; Chordata; Mammalia; Primates; Hominidae
Description: HSALNT0164225
Source: RNAcentral
GGCCCAACUCCAAUUUGCCAAUUUUUCUGACAAGGAACUUAGGGCCCAGAAUGCACAAUGCAUCUUUUGUUUUUAGAGACAGGGUCUUGCUGUCACCCAGGCUGCAGCCUUGAACUCCUGGACUCAAGCAAUCCUCUGGCUUCAGCAUCCCAAGUGGCUGGGACAACAGGUCACAGAGGACGUCUGGGUGACCCAAGGUAUCGUUAAGUUCUAGAUGGAAGACCCAGAUGGCACUCCUCCCGGGGAGGGGUUCCAGCCCCCACCCUCUCAGCCCCUCCCCUGCCAGCUCAACUCUGCAGUACACGAUGGGGGAAGGCUUAAACGCAGCUGCCAGGUGUAAUUUUUCAAGUGUCAAAGAUCCCAAGUGAUCCCUGACACCCACCCCUUCCUACUCUUACAUUCAUGCGUCUGUAAGAUAGCUGCCUACAACAGGUCAGUAGUGAUGCUCCGAUCAGAAAAACAAGAUACAAAACAAACAACAAACACACUUGGUCCCUUCAGACCAGUAAGAUACACAAACCACCUCCACGACCUCCGACCUCCCCCCUCCCUCCGGCUGCUCUGAGGAGCACGUGCCUCUUCCUUCACCCUGGGCCGGGCUGGGGCGGGAGCAGCCCAGCUGCUCUCUGGAUGUCACACCACUGUUAACUGUCAGUAACAAAAAUAAUAAGGUACAUGCUACACACACAUCCAGCUGGAAGCCUUGUUGGCCCCUAAGCCUUUGUUUCAUGCUACAGUACUGAGGGGUAUGUGUCCCCAAUGCACAGCCACCCGCACACAACUCAAUGAGCUUCCUGGGAAACACUAUUCCCCCACCUCCACCUUAGGUGGCUGCCUCAGUUUUCCAACCACAGGAAUCAGUCCCUCAGCUCCUGCCUCUAGUCUCCACCCCAAAAGUUCAGUCGUCUCUGUCUUGGAGGGCACUGUCGGCCCCCUCAGGUUGAAGUUCAACACUCCUCAAUGAGCAGCUGUUCCGAGCUGUACAGCUUCUUCUUGAUGACUCGGAAGCCAGUGCUCAGCGUCAGGGACUGGCUGAAGCCAGGGAGGAAGGGAGAGUUGGCGGAGCUAAACAGCCCCUGGAUCUUGGGCCAGAGUCGUGAGUCCAGGCGCAGCACGAGGGUCAGCUGGAAGGUGGGCACCAGGCUGGGGUCGAGUGCCAGCUGGCCCACGCUGUG